This is a long non-coding RNA of Lycium barbarum (goji berry), 453 nucleotides long. RefSeq lists it as uncharacterized. The transcript is spliced from 2 exons. The record is from RefSeq and is a predicted model, not a curated record. NCBI's taxonomy places the organism in Eukaryota, Viridiplantae, Streptophyta, Magnoliopsida, Solanales, Solanaceae.
UUGUGGUUCUCUUCCUAUAUAAAUGCUUCGAGACUCUCCAUCAUUCCUCACACAUCAAAACGAGCUUUCUUCCUUUCUAAUAAAACAGUAACUGCUAGUCUUUCUAAUCUAGGGUUUUCUGCGGGUUGGAGAUAAUUGAAUUCAAGAUUCAUGAGGUUAAAAGGGGAGUUUUUGGGGCAGUCCAGUUCAGUAUUCUUGCUGCAAGGUGAUAAUUAAGUAUGGUCUUUUGGUGAUUUUCUGCAAUUUCACUAGGAAAAACCAAAGAAAGUUCUGUCUUUCGGGUUCAAAAGGACUCCCAAUCGUUCUGCUGUGUUCAUCUUUCAAGGCGGUUGAUCAUCUAGCGGCUUCUACUUCAAGAUUUAGCAUUUUGCCAUCUGAUUCUUCAAUUAAUUUAUCAUGUAUACGGUCCAGAAUAUUAAUCGUUUUAGCAAAAUGAAUUUAUUUAAGAGUAUU